This 30-nucleotide non-coding RNA is filed under the name Homo sapiens (human). Lineage: Eukaryota; Metazoa; Chordata; Mammalia; Primates; Hominidae. The record is from RNAcentral.
UGCCUUUGACAUCCCUGACAUUGAUGCGAA